This is an RNA transcript of Zea mays, 1932 nucleotides long. RefSeq lists it as uncharacterized. The record is from RefSeq and is marked provisional. Lineage: Eukaryota; Viridiplantae; Streptophyta; Magnoliopsida; Poales; Poaceae. The transcript has 14 exons.
CCGGCCGCGUACACAAGCUCGCCUCGCACCAGAAACCCGCGAAUCAAUCCCGAAUCCCGAUCGACCGGCGGCGCGGGAGGCGAUGCCGGACAAGGCGGUGGACGACGUCAUGGAGGCCGCGGUGGGGGCCCACUUCAGCGGCCUCCGCCUCGAGGCGCUGCGCCUCUCCACCUCUGCGCCCUCUUCCCCUUCCUCCUCCCCCGCCGCCGCGGCGCACACGCACUCCAACGGAGCCGUCUACGCCAACGGCACCACCGAGCUUCCCUCUCCUGCCGCUGCCCGGCAGCCAUUCGUCAUCGGGGUUUCUGGAGGGACGGCGUCGGGGAAGACGACGGUGUGCGACAUGAUCAUCCAGCAGCUGCACGACCACCGUGUCGUGCUCGUUAACCAGGAUUCGUUUUACCGUGGCCUUACUGCUGAAGAGUCUGCACAUGCACAAGACUAUAAUUUUGAUCACCCUGAUGCAUUUGAUACAGAGCAACUUCUAGAAUGCAUGGGGCAGCUGAAAUGUGCUCAACCUGUAAAUGUUCCUAUAUAUGAUUUCAAGAAGCAUCGACGGUGUUCUGAAAGCUUUAGAAAGGUCAAUGCAUCAGAUGUCAUUAUUUUGGAGGGCAUUUUAGUGUUCCAUGACCAGAGAGUUCGCAAUCUGAUGGACAUGAAAAUUUUUGUAGACACAGAUGCUGACAUUAGGCUUGCUCGACGAAUCAGACGUGAUACAGUUGAAAGAGGAAGAGAUAUCAGCUCCGUGCUUGACCAAUAUGGGAGGUUUGUGAAGCCAGCGUUCGAUGAUUUUGUUUUGCCUUCAAAGAAGUAUGCUGACGUGAUCAUUCCUCGAGGUGGUGAUAACCAUGUAGCAGUUGAUCUGAUUGUUCAACAUAUCCGUACAAAACUUGGUCAGCAUGACUUGUGCAAAAUCUAUCCAAAUGUUCAUGUUGUUCAAUCAACUUUUCAGAUCCGAGGAAUGCAUACUCUUAUCCGUGAUAGGGACAUCACCACACCUGACUUUGUAUUUUAUUCAGAUCGAUUGAUCCGUUUGGUAGUGGAGCAUGGUCUUGGACAUUUGCCAUUUACAGAAAAGCAGGUUAUUACCCCAACAGGAUCUGUUUAUAUGGGAGUUGACUUUUGUAAGAAGCUCUGUGGAGUCUCUAUUGUGCGAAGUGGUGAGAGUAUGGAGAACGCAUUGCGUGCUUGUUGUAAAGGAAUAAAAAUUGGGAAAAUUCUAAUUCAUCGUGUUGGAGACAAUGGACAACAGAGGGAGUAUGCUUAAAAUGAUCGAGUUAAUCACGAUGGAUAACUAUUAUAAACUUUCUGCAUCUAGCUUGUUUAUCACAAACUGCCCAUGGAUAUUGCUGAACGACAUGUUCUACUUUUGGAUCCGGUGCUUGGUACAGGCAACUCAGUAGCCCAAGCAAUUGACCUUCUUAUAAGAAAAGGUGUUCCUGAGGAUCGGAUCAUUUUUCUCAAUCUCAUCUCGGCUCCUGAAGGGAUUCAGUGUAUCUGCAAGCGAUUUCCUUCGCUGAAGAUUGUUACAUCUGAAAUCGAUUAUGGUCUGAACGAGGAAUUCAGGGUGAUCCCAGGACUGGGAGAAUAUGGCGACCGCUACUUCGGCACAGACAAUUGAUGGAUCAUACCACUCUAUGGCUGUGUGAAGAUCUCACUUGGUCCCUGGAUAGGGAUGGUAUCUUGCAAGUAAUAUUUAAUAUGGAGGCGUAAUUGUGUUUAAUAGUCGGCAUGCCUUAGUAACAUGUAGAACCUUCUGCAUAAAGCUUGACCAAGGACAGCGGGAUGCUAGAGAAGGACCUGUGAACGGAGAACGUGGUGUGUGUUUUGUCUUGUACGGGUGCAGAAACAUUGAUGUUUUCAAAUAAGUGUGUUUGAUCCAAAUACUUUACGGUGAAGUCAUGAGAUUAAAUCUGCAAAGCACUUUAACUC